CAACAAGCACACUAUGAUUGAUCUUGGAACUGGAAACAACAACAAGAUUAAUUGGGCUCUGAAGGAUAAGCAAGAGUUCAUUGACAUAGUUGAAACUGUUUACCGUGGGGCAAGGAAGGGCCGUGGUUUAGUCAUUGCUCCAAAAGAUUACUCUACCAAGUAUCGUUAUUAAUGCUUGUGGCAAGUUGUUGAUUUCCAUUUUUGCAUCUGCACAUGGAUGCAAUAUUACAAUGCAUCUAAUUUGCACAUCCUUCGAAGUUAAAAUUAUUUUCUUGGGUUUGCUCACAAAUAUAAAUUGGAUAUCUGAAAAUUUCAAAAAUUCCUUGGGCUAAGAAAACUGUAACGAUCAAAAUCGUGGUGCAUAAUUUAAG
RNAcentral lists this unclassified non-coding RNA (371 nucleotides) under Hevea brasiliensis (rubber tree). The record is from RNAcentral. Lineage: Eukaryota; Viridiplantae; Streptophyta; Magnoliopsida; Malpighiales; Euphorbiaceae.